Long non-coding RNA from Dendroctonus ponderosae (mountain pine beetle), 670 nucleotides. RefSeq lists it as uncharacterized. Lineage: Eukaryota; Metazoa; Arthropoda; Insecta; Coleoptera; Curculionidae. The record is from RefSeq and is a predicted model, not a curated record. The transcript is spliced from 2 exons.
UAUCUUGCCGAUCCUGUCCGUGACUCCGUGUAUGUAUGGGAGGCAAGCCCAACUCCUACGCUCAUCAUGCGUCUCUGUUGUCUCCGAGCGAUCUUCACUGUUUUUUGGUCGAAUUGCUCUAUUGAAAUCUUUCUUCCAGGUGUUUUAAUUCUCUCUCUAACUCGGCUGGUUCGCAGAUUCUUCUGGCUCUUUCGGUGAGAGUUUUGAUGACUCCUCUUUUCUGACGGGGAUGAUGGUUUGAACCACUGUGCAGGGUUCAUUGAGUUGAGGUGCCUCAGGAAGUCUUCAAGUUCAGUCAGACCAUCGCCCCAAACAACAAAAGUGUCAUCAACAUAGCGCAACCAACACUUGGGUUUCCUCACGGCUGUGUCCAGAGCGUUCUUUUCGAAUUUUUCCAUAAAAUAGUUGGCUAUCACUGGACUAAGAGGACUGGCAUACGUUCGCUGCCCGUUCAAACCGCAGAACAGAUAAGGGCCGAGACUUCAAGAAUUUUGCAACGCUCGAAGCCUCCGAAGAGCAACCUCACUUCCAGUGAAAGAAAAGCCCUGAAAACGCUGAAUGAGGAUAAGGAGAUUCUCGUGUUGCCAGCUGAUAAGCGCAAUGCAACUGUGGGCAUGUCUUCAUUGAACUACGAAGACAAAAUCAAAGAACUUUUGACCCCGUCAACGUA